Temnothorax curvispinosus is the source of this 1138-nucleotide long non-coding RNA. RefSeq lists it as uncharacterized. Lineage: Eukaryota; Metazoa; Arthropoda; Insecta; Hymenoptera; Formicidae. The transcript is spliced from 2 exons. The record is from RefSeq and is a predicted model, not a curated record.
AUUUAAGGUAAAUGUCCCCAUGGCCGACCAUGUUCCCUCUACCGACUUUUUUGACGUGAAACGUUGUUUACGAGGCUGCUGAUUCAACAACACGUUCAUUAGUGCAGUGGAAAAAUUCAGGAAUUCGUGCAGUACAAAAUAAUUAUAACGUGCAGAGUAAGUACAAUAGUUAAAUAUAUUUUUUUUCGCAUUUCUUGCCGCACGUCACCAUCCACGCGUAUUCUUAAGAGUGAGGUUAGGAAUUGUCGGUCGCCUAAAUAGUCCGUAUUUCGUUCAAAAUCCUUUUGUAAGGAAUAAUCCGAGCGCUAAAUGGUUUGUUACAAUUUGAUUGCCAUAUUCGAAAAAAAAAAUUAGUCAAAAACUGUCAUUUUUUUUAUUUAUUCGAUGGUCGAGGUCAGACACAGCAAAACGCCUGCAUGUCCCCAGUACCAUACACGUAAACGUCAGUAUCAUCGAAGCUGCGGAAGCCGACGGCUGCGGUGAGGUUAUCCGCUUAGAGGCAGUACUAUGUGGGAUCUCGGUAGUCGCGGCGCCGUGGUGUUGAGUGUGACGUGUGGGUGCGUGCUGAUAUACAACGCCUGCUCGUCAACGACAGUCUGCUGUCGCCGCACGCGUAUCACGUUCUCGGUUACCUGCGGGAGGCGAUUCACGAGCUCGGCGCGGCCCUCCGUGUCGUCCACGUCCACGGUACCGGUUACGUGCGUAAGCUCUGGCACAGUGCGAGCCGUUGUUACCGCGAGCGUUUCCCUUCGUUCAGGAUGGACAGGCGACGCGCGAGCAAUUAUCAGCUCAGCAGCGACUCGUACGCUGCCAAGCGCGGAGAGUCGCCGUCGUUACCGUCAUCGCCAUCGUCGUCGUCGUCGUCGUCCAGGUAAUCGGUAAUGGGGACAUGCCCGGUCAAAAUUGGACACAGCUGGUCGGUAGAGAGGGCACGCACUAGUGCGCCUUUAUUCUUCUCUAUCUAGAAAAAUACUUGACGGAAUGGAUUGAGCCUACGAUUUUUGGAAAGUGCAUGGAUGAAGCUAUCCACCAGUAUGAAACUCUUUAUCGAAUUUAUUUUUGUCACGCUUGACAACGCCAUUCUUUUGUUGGGUCGGCCUUAUAGGUGUCGGCCAUAGGGACAUUUACCUUAUUUAUG